RNAcentral lists this long non-coding RNA (1986 nucleotides) under Homo sapiens (human). RNAcentral describes it as "uncharacterized LOC100128988, transcript variant 1 (LOC100128988)". The stretch from base 795 to 984 matches the Rfam family "U2 spliceosomal RNA". The record is from RNAcentral. Lineage: Eukaryota; Metazoa; Chordata; Mammalia; Primates; Hominidae.
AGUUCGGUUUUGCUUUCACUGUGACAAAGCAGCAUCAAAUUCAAUGCAAUGUCUCACAAUAGCUGCGCUCUCCCUCUUCCAAGCACAGAGAUUCUCUCUCUACGCCACAAAGCCACUGCCAUGGGAUGGGGACAGGUGGCAUCAGCAACUCAAGACUGUCUUCCCUACCCUCUUCAUUGCCUCUUUCAACAGUAUGAAGUUAAAAUCAGGACUACCCAGGCAGGGGGAGCUGCCUUCACUCACCCUUUCCCACUACUGCUUCCAGAAACAUCUCCCCAUCACUACACUAGGGACUUUGUAAGCACAGAUGUGGGACCCAUGAGUACUACAGAAGGAAGCAGAAGCUGCAAAGACCUUGGUUUCUCUGGCCCUUCCAACAGCAAGUAUCGCCAGGAGCAGCUCCCUAAUCUACAUACUACAGAUCUAUCCACAAGAAGACAGAUGGAACCACUCUUUUCUUCUGAAUUCUAGAACCUUAAGGAAGUUAACCUGAGUGGCUCAGCUUGGAUCAAGUGCCCAUCCUGGUCCAAACAACUGUAGCAGCACAUCUGUGUAUUUGUGUAUCUUGUUCCUCCAUAAUCUUGCAGUCCGGGGAAAGUGUGCAGAUGGAUGGGUCCCUGAAAAGCAAGAGUUGUUUAGACAACGCUAGAGGUGUUCAGUUCUGGGAGACAAGAGUUGGGCCAGGUUGAUAACUAGCCUAAGAGAGUCGGAAUCAGAUGAAUAAGAACUAGAUCUUGGGUGACAACCUAGAUCAAGAGUCUUGAGGUUCAGUCAUUUCAAAAAGCUCAAGUCUCAUUGCUUCUUGGCCUUCUGGCUAAGAUCAUGUGCAGUAUCUGUUCUUACCAGUUUAAUAUCUGAUACAUCCUCUAUCUGAGGAUAAUAUAAUAAAUAGAUUUUUGGAGCAAGGAGAUGGAAUAGGAGCUUGCUCUGUCCACUCUACACAUUGGCCUGGAUUGCAGUACCUCCAGGAAUGGUGCACCCUCUCUACCACCCCCAAAAAGCCCAAGUCUCAAGAGGUAGUCUGGAAAAAAGUGUUUUUGGAUUUACCUACAUUUUUUUUUCCAAGAUGGAGUCUCGCUCUGUCACCCAGGCUGGAGUGCAGUGGCGCCAUCUUGGCUCACUGUAACCUCUGCCUCCAGGAUUCAAGCAGUUCUCCUGCCUCAGUCUCCCAAGUAGCUGGGAUUACAGGUGUGUGCCAACCAUGCUCAGCUAAUUUUUCUAUUUUUAGUAGAGACAGGGUUUCACCAUGUUGGCCAGGCAGGUCUCAAAGUCCUGACCUCAGGUGAUCUGCCUGCCUUGGCCUCCCGAAGUGCUAAGAUUACAGGCGUGAGCCACUGCGCCCGGCCUAAUUUUUGUAAUUUUAGUAGAGACGAGUUUUCACCAUGUUGACCAGGCUGGUCUCGAACUCCUGACCUCAGGUGAUCCACCCCCGCCCUCGGCCUCCCAAAGUGCUGGCACUACAGGCAUGAGCCACCGCUCCUGGCCGGGUUUGCCUACAUUUUGGAGAUGCUGCACACCAUGUCCCUCUUUUCAAGAGUCACGUAAGUAUUUACAUAUGGAAGACCCUGAGAAGGCACCUGGGAAAAAACCUGUUUAACUGUAAAUAUAAUAAUGUAUGUAUUUGUAUGUGGAGCUCUUCUUUUAGUGGAUUAUCUAUAAACCGUCCACUGUUCCCAAUGCAUACUUUGGAGACAGACCUACACUACCAGUUUUCACCUGCUAGUUAUUUUUAUAAGGGUUGGGAUGGUCCAUGAGUGAACAGUCUUGAUUUAAAGCAGUGUUUCCCAAACCUCAUUUAUUUGCCUAUAGCCUUCCUGGAGUUUGUCUUAUAUGUCCGCUCUGUGCACUAUUCCUAUAUGUUUUUAUGUAAAUCAAUCACUUUUUUAAAAAGCCUCAUCCCAGUUAUAUCCUUAAAACAAUGGUUAUUUUUUCUCAUACACAUCGAAAUACAUAUCUAUUAGAAUUAAAAUGCUUGUCCAUGCACUA